CGGGGGGAGCAAGCAUUGUUCGGAUUUACUGGGCGUAAAGGGCGCGUAGGCGGCGCAACAAGUCACUUGUGAAAUCUCCGGGCUUAACCCGGAGCGGCCAAGUGAUACUGUCGUGCUAGAGUGCGGAAGGGGCUACUGGAAUUCUCGGUGUAGCGGUGAAAUGCGUAGAUAUCGAGAGGAACACCUGCGGCGAAGGCGGGUAGCUGGGCCGACACUGACGCUGAGGCGCGAAAGCCAGGGGAGCGAACGGGAUUAGAUACCCCGGUAGUCCUGGCCUUAAACGAUGGAUACUUGGUGUCCGGGGUUACAUAGUCCCCGGGUGCCGGCGCUAACGCAUUAAGUAUCCCGCCUGGGGAGUACGGUCGCAAGACUG
This 373-nucleotide ribosomal RNA is filed under the name uncultured organism. RNAcentral's name for it is "bacterial SSU rRNA". It matches the Rfam family "Bacterial small subunit ribosomal RNA", at positions 526 to 896 of the family's 1533-position model. The record is from RNAcentral.